AACAAACGCUGGCGGCGUGCCUAAUACAUGCAAGUCGAACGGGGAAAGCUUUCGGGUGAGUACUAGUGGCGCACGGGUGAGUAACGCGUGGAUAAUCUGCCUUAGAGUGGGGGAUAACUAGUCGAAAGAUUAGCUAAUACCGCAUAAGACCACAAGAACUGCGGUUCAAGGGGUCAAAGGUUUUUCGCUCUAAGAUGAGUCCGCGUAAGAUUAGCUAGUUGGUGGGGUAAUGGCUCACCAAGGCGACGAUUUUUAACUGGUCUGAGAGGAUGAUCAGUCACACUGGAACUGAGACACGGUCCAGACUCCUACGGGAGGCAGCAGUAGGGAAUAUUGCACAAUGGAGGAAACUCUGAUGCAGCGACGCCGCGUGAGUGAUGAAGGCCUUCGGGUCGUAAAGCUCUGUCGCAAGGGAAUAACACAAUGAAUGUACCUUGCAAGAAAGGAUCGGCUAACUUCGUGCCAGCCGCCGCGGUAA
This 478-nucleotide ribosomal RNA is filed under the name uncultured bacterium. Its description in RNAcentral is "partial 16S ribosomal RNA". It matches the Rfam family "Bacterial small subunit ribosomal RNA", at positions 29 to 523 of the family's 1533-position model. The record is from RNAcentral.